GAUGAACGCUGGCGGCGUGCCUAAUACAUGCAAGUAGAACGCUCGAGGAGGAGCUUGCUCUUCUGGAUGAGUUGCGCACGGGUGAGUAACGCGUAUGUAACCUGCCUGGUAGAGGGGGGGAAAUCUUGGAAACGAUAGCUAAUACCGCAGGACAAACGUUAUGUCAUGAUAACUGUUGAAAAGGGGCAACUGCUCCACUACCAGAUGGACCUGCGUUGUAUUAGCUAGUUGGUGGGGUAACGGCUCACCAAGGCGACGAUCCAUAGCCGCCCUGAGAGGGGGUUCGGCCACACUGGGAUUGGGACACGGCCCAGACUCCUAGGGAAGGCGCAGGUGGGGAACCUUCGGCAAUGGACGAAGGUCGGACGAGGCACCGCCGCGGAGGGAAGGAAGGUCUUCGAGUCGUAAAGCUCUGUUUUUAGGAAGGAAGAGUUUGAGCGGUAAAUGGCCUCACCGUGACGGUACCUAACCAGAAAGCCACGGCUAACUACGUG
This 494-nucleotide ribosomal RNA is filed under the name uncultured bacterium. Its description in RNAcentral is "partial 16S ribosomal RNA". It matches the Rfam family "Bacterial small subunit ribosomal RNA", at positions 28 to 507 of the family's 1533-position model. The record is from RNAcentral.